CUGUCAUCCUCCUCUGGCUCAUCUGCCAGAGUACUCCGGUUCAAACCGCCGCCCGUUGGCUUAGAAACCAGCAAAUGGCAUUGUCGGAAUCAGAGAACCCGAGCGUCGCCCCCAUCUAGCGGCAUUCGGCGGAACUAAAGCGUACGGCAACAUUCCAACGACCCUCGCCUCGAUAUUAUUUCUCUUAUCUGAAAUUGUCGUCUCAUAACACUAAGCCCCGUGAUUAUCCUUUACAGGGCACUAGAUAGUUAGAACGUAGGAAAAUUAGCCGUGUCGUCAAUUCGGCUACCCCGUACACGAGGUUAACCCAUUUUGUAGGUUAGUGCGGAGUAGCUUACGCGCCACCGUUAACGGCAUCCUGAAUACUUCAGGCUGAUAUUACUGCACCGCUUUAAGGAUAUUUCCUCUGUCUAGUAUGUGGCUCGAGGAGCUACAGUCAAGCAUGGAUCAGACGCUCGAAUAAGGACGAGCAAGAUCUUUGAGUAGACUAUAAUUUGAUUUUCCUACCAUUCGAGAUCGACUUCGGUCCAGAGGGUCUGUUCGAUAAUAAAGGAAAGGGAACAUACAGAAGUCGAAUGACAAAGGAACUUGGUUCUCCCUUUGCUAUGCUGAGUCGGUAAAGAAAUUGCAUUACUCAUUACGGGAAUCGUUUUCAAAGCUGGUUCAAUGAUUUUUCUUCUUUCAGUUUUUUCGCGAAGGACGACAAUGAGAAGAAGAAGAAAACAAAGAAUAUUGGAAGCUAUCGCGAAGAGGAAAUAUGUAUAUGGUUUAGCAGCGUUCCGCGCAAGAUCAGAUCAUGACGGGGGAGGGGGGGGGGCGUGGCGUGGCGGCAGUGCGUAAAGAAUGAAAAGUAAACGAUGAAAUGAAAAUAUUAAGCAUAGACUAAACAGUCAUAAAGAAAGACCCUAUGGCCUUUUUUAUUAGCCGAAGGGUGAGAGUUUAGUAUCCACACAGUCGGUAAGGCAGGAAACUGACUGGACGUAGUAGAUGGUGUCAGCAAUGAGUCAGCCACUGGCCGUGCAGUAGUUAAGUGCCACGUUGGGUCCGCGGUAAUGAACGAUAUACAACAGCAUCGUAAAAAAGCCUAGCGUGUAGAUUAUACUCAGUGGGAAAAUAAGUUUUGAAAAAUUUGUAUCUUCGUAGCGGCGGUCUCUUCUUUACGAUGACUUGCCUACGUAAUAACUCCGAAGAAUCUCAGCCCUUAAAAUUUAUAUAGAAAUACCUUACAGGUCUCUAGGGUAGGAAUUAAUAGUUAAGUUAAGUUAGGUUAGCACAGUACACAUAGCUGCCAUAGGAUUUGGUUGUAAUUAUCGAUUGAAGAUAACUAACUGGAGCUUUCGUAUAUGGCAGCAGAUCUUAGUAGAGAAACCAGAUGAACGAUUUUUAAAUUUCAAAUAUUAUUUAGAACUAAAUAUUUUAUCUGCCCUGUUUUUUU
Long non-coding RNA from Cephus cinctus (wheat stem sawfly), 1435 nucleotides. RefSeq lists it as uncharacterized. The record is from RefSeq and is a predicted model, not a curated record. The transcript has 2 exons. Lineage: Eukaryota; Metazoa; Arthropoda; Insecta; Hymenoptera; Cephidae.